This 274-nucleotide ribosomal RNA is filed under the name uncultured bacterium. Its description in RNAcentral is "partial 16S ribosomal RNA". It matches the Rfam family "Bacterial small subunit ribosomal RNA", at positions 523 to 796 of the family's 1533-position model. The record is from RNAcentral.
AUACGGAGGGUGCAAGCGUUAAUCGGAAUUACUGGGCGUAAAGCGUACGUAGGCGGUUUAUUAAGUCAGAUGUGAAAGCCCCGGGCUUAACCUGGGAACUGCAUUUGAAACUGGUAGACUAGAGUAUGGUAGAGGGGGGUAGAAUUCCUAGUGUAGCGGUGAAAUGCGUAGAUAUUAGGAGGAAUACCAGUGGCGAAGGCGGCCCCCUGGACCAAUACUGACGCUGAGGUACGAAAGCGUGCGGAGCGAACAGGAUUAGAUACCCCAGUAGUCC